GAGCGUUUAGCUCAAAUGGUAGAGCCCCCACUUCGCAUGCGGGAGGUAGGCGGAUCGAUCACCCCAGUGUUCC
Phytophthora infestans T30-4 is the source of this 73-nucleotide non-coding RNA. Lineage: Eukaryota; Oomycota; Peronosporomycetes; Peronosporales; Peronosporaceae. The record is from the annotation of a RefSeq genome assembly.